This 440-nucleotide ribosomal RNA is filed under the name uncultured bacterium. RNAcentral describes it as "partial 16S ribosomal RNA". It matches the Rfam family "Bacterial small subunit ribosomal RNA", at positions 338 to 795 of the family's 1533-position model. The record is from RNAcentral.
CCUACGGGGGGCUGCAGUAGGGAAUAUUAGAAAUGGACGAAAGUCUGAUCUAGCAACACCGCGUGUGCGAAGAAGGCCUUCGGGUCGUAAAGCACUUUUUGGAAGGAAUAGGAAGGAAUGUACUUCCAGAAUAAGUCUCGGCUAACUACGUGCCAGCAGCCGCGGUAACACGUAGGAGGCAAACGUUAUCCGGAUUUACUGGGCGUAAAGCGCGUGUAGGUGGUACUGUAAGUAGGGCGUGAAAGCUCCUGGCUCAACUGGGAGAGGCCGUUCUAAACUACAGAACUAGAGGAUGGUAGAGGGAGGUGGAAUUCCAGGUGUAGCGGUGGAAUGCGCAGAUAUCUGGAGGAACACCGGUGGCGAAGGCGGCCUCCUGGACCAUUCCUGACACUCAGACGCGAAAGCUAGGGUAGCAAACGGGAUUAGAUACCCGAGUAGUC